UCUUCUUGAUUAAGCUGAAUGUCGGCAUUUACAUCAAUUGUGCAUCUAAACACGCCCCAGUGCAACUGUCACAACUCCACAGCAUCAAAACUCUUGUUGAAUCAGCUGGACCAAACCCUUAAUAACCAUGGUUUUACUUUCCCUUUCCCACAAAAAGUCUUAUCCUUUUGCCACUCCCAAGUUUGAAAUGGAGCUGUGGAACUUUGUGUCAGAGAAGAAGAUUCAUGAUCAUGUGCACUUCAUCAAUAAAUCCCUGACUGUAGCUCCCUAUUUGGCUGCAAUUGAUGUGCUUGUCCAGAACUCGCAGAGCCGUUUGGCAUGAGGCACAAAGUGCAGAUGGCAAAAUGUACUGAUAGGAAGCGGGUCAGACUGGCCAUUUUUGGACUGUGCCCACCCAAUUUUUGUUUUUCUACUCAGACCAAUUUGUUGAAUCUGGAGUCAAGUUCUGUGGAUGACUCGUGGGCCCAUGGCACUGAACCAGAUUGGCAACUAAGUCCAAGUCUUUUUCUUGGUUGAGUUCUUUUUUAUUUUUCUUUCAUUCUUUUGUCCCCCUCUGUUGUUAGUCUAUAAAUAUGAUGUUGAACUCAGAAGCUGCCACAUCUUACAUAUAUGCAUGCCAUUCACUCAUGAUUUUUUA
Long non-coding RNA from Magnolia sinica, 637 nucleotides. RefSeq lists it as uncharacterized. The transcript is spliced from 2 exons. Lineage: Eukaryota; Viridiplantae; Streptophyta; Magnoliopsida; Magnoliales; Magnoliaceae. The record is from RefSeq and is a predicted model, not a curated record.